Molecule: ribosomal RNA, 1457 nt
Filed under: metagenome
Description: SSU rRNA
Rfam family: Eukaryotic small subunit ribosomal RNA
Source: RNAcentral
CCUGGUUGAUCCUGCCAGUAGUCAUAUGCUUGUCUCAAAGACUAAGCCAUGCAUGUCUAAGUAUAAAUGCUUUUAUACCGUAAAACUGCGAAUGGCUCAUUAAAUCAGUUAUAAUUUACUUGAACGUAACUUCUUACUUGGAUAACCGUAGUAAUUCUAGAGCUAAUACAUGCAAAAAGGCCAAACUGCGCCUUAACGGGUUGCGGGGAGGUCGUAUUUAUUAGAUACAGAACCAAUGCGAGCUAUUCCAAACGGUAUUAGAGUUUUUUACUUUAGUAUCGGGCUCGGUUUAUUGGAUGAAUCAUAAUAACUAAACAAAUCGCAGACCAAGAGUCGGCGAUGUUGCAAACAAGUUUCUGCCCUAUCAACUUUCGAUGGUAGUAUAGUGGACUACCAUGGUUAUAACGGGUAACGGGGAAUUAGGGUUCUAUUCCGGAGAGGGAGCUUGAGAAUCGGCUACCACUUCCAAGGAAGGCAGCAGGCGCGCAAAUUACCCAAUCCCGAUUCGGGGAGGUAGUGACAAGAAAUACCAAUAUACGACCCAACGGGUAGUAUAGUUGGAAUGAGUACAAUUUAAAAACCUUAACGAGGAACAAUUGGAGGGCAAGUCUGGUGCCAGCAGCCGCGGUAAUUCCAGCUCCAAUAGUGUAUAUUAAAGUUGUUGCGGUUAAAAAGCUCGUAGUUGGAUUUCGGAAUGCAUAAGACACGGUCCAUCGAAUUGAUGAGUACUGGUUUUUUGCUUCCUUCUUUUGUAAUGCGUUAUUGAUCCUUUGUGAUUAAUAUGCUUACAUUGUUUACUUUGAAAAAAUUAGAGUGUUCAAAGCAGGCGUAACCUUGCCAUUGAAUACAUUAGCAUGGGAUAAUAAAAUAUGACUUUGGCUCUUAUUUUGUUGGUUUCUAAGGCUAAAGUAAUGAUUAAUAGGGAUAGUCGGGGCCACUAGUAUUGAUUUGUCAGAGGUGAAAUUCUAGGAUUUAAUCAAGACUAACUACUGCGAAAGCAUUUGGCAAGGAUGUUUUCAUUAAUCAAGAACGAAAGUUGGGGGAUCGAAGAUGAUCAGAUACCGUCGUAGUCUCAACCAUAAACUAUGUCGACCUAGGAUUCGCAAACAUUACAUGGAUGAUUUUGCGAGCACUAUUUGAGAAAUCACAAGUAUUUGGAUUCUGGGGGGAGUAUGGUCGCAAGGCUGAAACUUAAAGGAAUUGACGGAAGGGCACCACCAGGAGUGGAAUCUGCGGCUUAAUUUGACCCAACACGGGGAAACUUACCAGGUCCGGACACAGUGAGGAUUGACAGAUUGAGAGCUCUUUCUUGAUUCUGUGGGUGGUGGUGCAUGGCCGUUUUUAGUUGGUGGAGUGAUUUGUCUGGUUAAUUCCGUUAACAAACGAGACCUUAACCUAUUAAAUAGUUGUUCGAAUUUGAAUUCCGUUUCUCGGAAUUCUCUUCAAUUCGAAGAUAA